GGACGGGUGAGUAAUGCCUAGGAAUCUGCCUGGNAGUGGGGGACAACGUUUCGAAAGGAACGCUAAUACCGCAUACGUCCUACGGGAGAAAGCAGGGGACCUUCGGGCCUUGCGCUAUCAGAUGAGCCUAGGUCGGAUUAGCUAGUUGGUGGGGUAACGGCUCACCAAGGCGACGAUCCGUAGCUGGUUUGAGAGGACGACCAGCCACACUGGGACUGAGACACGGCCCAGACUCCUACGGGAGGCAGCAGUGGGGAAUUUUGGACAAUGGGGGAAACCCUGAUCCAGCCAUCCCGCGUGUGCGAUGAAGGCCUUCGGGUUGUAAAGCACUUUUGGCAGGAAAGAAACGUCGCGGGUUAAUACCCCGCGGAACUGACGGUACCUGCAGAAUAAGCACCGGCUAACUCUGUGCCAGCAGCCGCGGUAAUACAGAGGGUGCAAGCGUUAAUCGGAAUUACUGGGCGUAAAGCGCGCGUAGGUGGUUCGUUAAGUUGGAUGUGAAAGCCCCGGGCUCAACCUGGGAACUGCAUCCAAAACUGGCGAGCUAGAGUACGGUAGAGGGUGGUGGAAUUUCCUGUGUAGCGGUGAAAUGCGUAGAUAUAGGAAGGAACACCAGUGGCGAAGGCGACCACCUGGACUGAUACUGACACUGAGGUGCGA
This 660-nucleotide ribosomal RNA is filed under the name Pseudomonas sp. enrichment culture clone CH2_4_1. RNAcentral's name for it is "bacterial SSU rRNA". It matches the Rfam family "Bacterial small subunit ribosomal RNA", at positions 100 to 756 of the family's 1533-position model. The record is from RNAcentral. Lineage: Bacteria; Pseudomonadati; Pseudomonadota; Gammaproteobacteria; Pseudomonadales; Pseudomonadaceae.